This 1994-nucleotide long non-coding RNA is filed under the name Sus scrofa (pig). RNAcentral's name for it is "lncRNA (ENSSSCG00070006236.1)". The record is from RNAcentral. Lineage: Eukaryota; Metazoa; Chordata; Mammalia; Artiodactyla; Suidae.
AAUUCUUUCCUCCCUCCCUCUCUCCCUCUCCUCUUCCCUGCUAGUUCUUGUGGAGUGCCUGCUCCCUGUUCCAUACUAACUGUAAGGGUUUGGGAGUGAGCAACUUAUAUUUUAUCUGUAAAGUGGGAAUGCUAACUGCUGUCAAGCAGAAUUCUUUUGAAACAGGAUAUGAUUUCCUAGUACGUGGUUUCCAAUGCAGCACAGGAUUUUCUAUUGAUCUUGUUUUUUGUUUUUUUUUGUUUUUUUGUUUUGCACUGUCUUAUAGAGAGUUUUAAAUUGACAGGGCCACAAAGCCUGGGUGACUUGGCCAUUGAGCUAGUAAUUUGGAUAAGAAAAUUCCUAAAUCUGGCCUAUAGUGGGAAAUGAUUUCCCCCUCUCCCAGAUCUGGGUCCUUGUCUUCUUCCCUGAAAAUGGAUAAUCAGACAAAUAAGAAAUAUCUGUAUAUUGACAGUAAUUCAUUCCAGAAGGUUAAUCAAUAAAGAACUAAAAUGCUGAGGAAUUUAAUGCCUUUCAUUUUAUUGUCUUUCAAUUUUUUUGGGGGGUAUGCAUCAACUGAGGUGGAUAUUAAGGGGUUUUAUAUCCCUAGCUUCAAAGGCAUAUACUUUUCAAAUUUCCUCAAUGAGGAAAACACAAACGUUUAGAGGUAGGUUAAAAAAACCAAGGCUGCCAAUGCUAUAAGCACCCUGCUGACACAAGAUGAUUUUAUGUGUUUUUUUUUUUUUUUUUUUAACUUGCAACUCGAGGCAGGGGAUAAGUGCUUGCUAAUUAAUAUAAUCUCAAUCCUGACAUAGUCAUGCUCAUGGGAAUAUCUAUUCCCCUCUUAGGGGGAAUGGAGAGAUUCAGAAACACACAGGCAUUAACCUGAUAAGUCCUCAGGCAACUUUGCUGCCAGAAUAUGCUGCCAGGAGACUGUAAGUCAUCAGGCUUUUCUGACUCAUUAUAAAAAUUAGUCUCCUGAUAUGUAAAAGCCAGUAUGGGAGGAAUUAAAUGGAGUCCUGAUGAAAGAGAGUGUUUGUUCUCAGAGUUUGUCUGCUGGCUCCUUUACGACUGGAGAACAGGUAGUAAAAGAACUCCAGAGACUUGCCUACAUCAGUGAAAAGAAAGAAGCUGCAAGAAGUCUGACCACUAAGGUAAGGGAAACUACUAAGGUAAGGGAAACAUUUCUUCAGUCACAUUUUUACCGCCAACAAUGGAUUUUUUUUUUUUUAAAGUGAAAUGUAAGAAGUCAGGGAAUAUCAAGUGCUGGCAAUUAUUAUUAUCCUUUGUGUGUACUUGAUAUGUGUGAAUUUGAAAAAUGAUUUUAAUAUUGGGAAUUUUAAAAGAAUGACUAGGGGGAGGCGUGCAGUUGUUCUGAAAGGCCUUUAUGCGUGUACCCUACUAGGCGCUGAAGGAAAUGAUGGGUCACAGAUGUAGUCCCAUUCUUUCUAAUUCUCUGAAGAUCUAGGACUAUUGCUUUCCUGACAUGACAUCCCUCCUGAUGUAUCUUUCUAGAACAUCGCAAUUACUAUUUUCACUGCCAAUCUUGUAGCACGCAUUCCGUGCCUCUGACUUGAUCUGGGCUCAUUUGAAGGAUAAUGGACUGACUGCUAUCUCAGCAAACUGAUUCCAAAGGUAAUUGUAAUUUAUGAUCUAUAUGUAUCAUCACUAUUUUCUAAACGGGAAAGUGUGAUGAAAGAAUCAAAUCACUGGCAUUUUCUUUUUAAGGUGUCUACUACACUGACAUCUCCAAAAGUAGGCUUUGCCACAUAACUCAUAAGUUUUGGUUAUUUGAUAGAUUUAUAUAAAUGGCAGGUCAAUUACAAUUAUUAUAUCCAUUUAAGAGAAAAGAAAACAAAGGCCAAGGAGUUUGAUUUCCUUGAGCAAUACAGGCCAUGAUAUAGUAAAGGAGUGUGAUGUGGAUGACCUGUUAAAAUUCACAUGUGCUGCAGUGGAUGAUGUCUGUGACUAUGGAAAGAGUAAAUAAAAAGAUUGAUAGAAAUAUCCCUGUCCUUGAU